GACGAACGCUGGCGGCGUGCUUAACACAUGCGAGUCGAACGGAAAGGCCCCUUUGGGGGUACUCGAGUGGCGCACGGGUGAGUAACACGUGAGUAACCUGCCCUUGACUUCGGGAUAACUUCAGGAAACUGGGGCUAAUACCGGAUAGGAAUCCUUGCUGCAUGGUGGGGGUUGGAAAGCUUCGGCGGUUUUGGAUGGACUCGCGGCUUAUCAGCUUGUUGGUGGGGUAGUGGCUUACCAAGGCUUUGACGGGUAGCCGGCCUGAGAGGGCGACCGGCCACAUUGGGACUGAGAUACGGCCCAGACUCCUACGGGAGGCAGCAGUGGGGAAUAUUGCACAAUGGGCGGAAGCCUGAUGCAGCAACGCCGCGUGCGGGAUGACGGCCUUCGGGUUGUAAACCGCUUUCAGCAGGGGCGAAGCUUUUGUGACGGUACCUGCAGAAGAAGCACCGGCUAACUACGUG
This 464-nucleotide ribosomal RNA is filed under the name uncultured bacterium. Its description in RNAcentral is "partial 16S ribosomal RNA". It matches the Rfam family "Bacterial small subunit ribosomal RNA", at positions 28 to 507 of the family's 1533-position model. The record is from RNAcentral.